AGUGAACGCUGGCGGUAGGCCUAACACAUGCAAGUCGAACGGCAGCACAGUAAGAGCUUGCUCUUACGGGUGGCGAGUGGCGGACGAGUGAGGAAUACAUCGGAAUCUACUUUUUCGUGGGGGAUAACGUAGGGAAACUUACGCUAAUACCGCAUACGACCUACGGGUGAAAGCAGGGGAUCUUCGGACCUUGCGCGAUUGAAUGAGCCGAUGUCGGAUUAGCUAGUUGGCGGGGUAAAGGCCCACCAAGGCGACGAUCCGUAGCUGGUCUGAGAGGAUGAUCAGCCACACUGGAACUGAGACACGGUCCAGACUCCUACGGGAGGCAGCAGUGGGGAAUAUUGGACAAUGGGUGCAAGCCUGAUCCAGCCAUACCGCGUGGGUGAAGAAGGCCUUCGGGUUGUAAAGCCCUUUUGUUGGGAAAGAAAAGCAGCAGGUUAAUACCCCGCUGUUCUGACGGUACCCAAAGAAUAAGCACCGGCUAACUUCGUG
RNAcentral lists this ribosomal RNA (492 nucleotides) under uncultured bacterium. RNAcentral's name for it is "partial 16S ribosomal RNA". It matches the Rfam family "Bacterial small subunit ribosomal RNA", at positions 29 to 507 of the family's 1533-position model. The record is from RNAcentral.